This 253-nucleotide ribosomal RNA is filed under the name uncultured prokaryote. RNAcentral's name for it is "partial 16S ribosomal RNA". It matches the Rfam family "Bacterial small subunit ribosomal RNA", at positions 524 to 776 of the family's 1533-position model. The record is from RNAcentral.
GACGGAGGGUGCAAGCGUUGUUCGGAAUUACUGGGCGUAAAGGGCGCGUAGGCGGUCUGUUAAGUUCGGUGUGAAAGCCCGGGGCUCAACCCCGGAAAGUCGGCCGAUACUGGCAAGCUAGAGUACGGAAGAGGUAGCUGGAAUUCCCGGUGUAGCGGUGAAAUGCGUAGAGAUCGGGAGGAAUACCGAUGGCGAAAGCAACCGUCUGGGCCUGAACUGACACUGAGACACGAAAGCGUGGGGAGCAAACAGG